GGAAAUCCCCCUGAAACUAUUUCCCCCCACGACCUCUCAUCUUCUCGGUUUUGUAUUAUUUUCUGCUCGCUUUGCUUCUCGCUUUGCUUCUCGCUUUUCCAAAUAGUAAUCAUAACAUUCAAGAGUUUGAGAGAAUAGAGAAAGGUUUCUACGGUCUAUUGUUUGUGUGGCGACGGGAACUGCCAGACCUUUCGAGCUUGAUAGCUUGAUGUCGAGGCAUUCCUAUUGCUUGCCCAGAUUUCCCCUUUUCUGCUUGAUUAUUCUUCUGAGUUUGAUGUUCGAGAUAAUAGGCCCGUUGUUUAUGUGGUUAUGGAGACUGCGAGACCUUUUGAGUUUGAUAGCUUGCGGAGAAGAUCCUUUGAAGAUCUGGAUGGUGGUUUAGGCUAACAUAUCCUCUCAAAACUCUUCUUCUUCUUCUUUUGCUAUAGUUUUUUCACAGAUCUUUUCCAGGAUGACUUUUGACUCUCUUUAUGUUGGAAGGGAGUAAGUUUAAGCUUGGCUGUCUUAUAGGUUUCUACCAAUUUACUUUGCUUUUCCGCAAAAAGAUGUUACUUGAUUGUUUUAUUUCCUAAUCUGUAUGCGGGGAGAUGAGGCGGGGCAGACAAUGGCGCCGUUCGACUUUGUUCGUACAGCUCAAUAAGUAAAUAUCUCUGCAAUCUGUAGUUUGUCAGUGUUAGCAAUAUCCGUAAAGAUCUCAACUUCGGUUAAUUUGUUAUUGUGUUCCUUUUAUGUGUUUAUUUAGGGAGAAUAAGUUGAUUGUCUAACUAAAUUAGUUGAUGAAGUUUGUAACUUGAUCAGCUAAGGAUUGGAUAGGCUUAGUCAGUUGCCCUUUGUGCUUGAUUGACACAGUCGUAACGAGUUUUGAUUAGAGGCUAAUGUGAUCAAAUAUUUUGUUCAGGAAGGUCGAAAUUACUCAUCAAGCCCGCUUACAACCCUGAUACUGAGCCAAUCAUGGAGAUAGAGGUAAAUAAAUACUGCAGCCAUCUGUUAUUUUUCAUGGCUAAUGGUUCCAGAAGCCGUAAAAGCAUAUGUUACUAAGUAACGGUUCGUUGUUGACUCACAAACAGCCAUCUGCUGGAUUCUAUAUUCCUAUUGCAGUUGGACUCCAUGAAUGCCCUUAUUUCUGGGAUUUCCAGCUCCUUCUGUUUAUCUUCAGUAAUGGAAUCACCGGGUAGAUAACAGGCCUUCUCACUUGGGGUGAAGGAUAAUCAUCUUCAACGGUAGUUAGAAGAGAGUAGCAGGAAAGAGUAGUUUUGGAGUUGAGAGAGAAUUCAGACAUUUUUGUUUUAAUAGAUAUUGCAACGGUCAUCAUAAUAUACUUCUACAUAAAAUAUACGUGGAAUUCAGUCAACGGGCUGAACAAAAUACUAAUUAGGAUAAAAUAUGUUUAGCGAAAACGAUAUUAGUAUAUUGUUGGACGACCCGUUGGGUGGGUGUCAGGGUGGAUACUAACUAAAUUUGUCCCCAUUUGCUACUUGGCAACCACGGGAUUCUGGUGUAUCCGUAUUCGUCAACAUAUUCCUUUGUCCGAAUAAUUUCAGCCCAUGGUGGAUGAGUUUCGGAUGGGUACCCAAAUGUUGGGUUGGGUUUGCCAUCUCUAAGUGAUUUACCAACUUGACUGGUUUUUUUCAG
This 1632-nucleotide long non-coding RNA is filed under the name Linum usitatissimum (flax). Its description in RNAcentral is "long non-coding RNA (LUSI_LNC004997)". Lineage: Eukaryota; Viridiplantae; Streptophyta; Magnoliopsida; Malpighiales; Linaceae. The record is from RNAcentral.